UGCCGAUGUAGGAUUGACAGCACCGAUAGGAUAGCCGUUAUUAUAAGGGGAACUAUAAUGUGCAUUAUAACCACCCUGAGGUAUUGGAACAGUGCCUGGAUAACCAGAUGGCAUACCAGGCAUUGCUGCGGGAAUUCCAGCAUUGGGCAAAGACGCAGUAUUGUAAGAGGGCAGGGGGUUAUAAGAAGGGACUGGCUGCGAUGAUUGUCCCACGUAUGAAUAACCAAAAUUGUUGUUGAUUGCAGCGGGAGCAUCUCUGGAAUAAGCAUUGGACAUUGGAGUCGACGCAUACGAAGAAGUUUGCGAAUAAUCAGUAUUCAUAAAUUGAGUGUUCUCAGAAGUAUUAUACAUUCCACCACCCAUGGAAUUAUUCACCCCGUACAUAGCGGAAGACUGUUGGACAGGGGGCGUACCAUAGCUUUGAGGAUUUCCGUAUGAAGAAGGCAAACCUGUUUGCGAAGAACCAUAAACUUCCGAUUGAGGAUUUUCGUCGGAAAACUUUCGUUUCCCGUUGUCCGAUAAGUAAUUUGAAUUGUAAGGAAGCAUCUAAUUUAAAAUCACAUUAAGUCUUCUGUAUUUAUAUAUCAAAUAUCAGAAGUAGCACGUUUGGUUCGUGUUUGGGGCGUGCCUGACUCUUACGGGAGUACGCAGAAAAAAAAUAAUGGACUCUUUAAAUCUGGAUAUGUCUUAAGUUAAUUAAAAAAAUUUACUGGAUUUUAACGGUAAUUAUCGCAAUGCCGUAUAUACUUUAACCUGUCAGGAAUAGUACACUACGCUAUGCUACACUACGUUGCGUAUCACUAUAUGUCAUAUGUUGGAAUACUAGCUAAGAUCCGUUUAUUGAUAAUCACGGGUAACUAUCCGUCUAUAUACAUAGAUACCCGUUGAUAACAACUAUUUAGAAAUAUUAUAAAUAGCGUUACAACUGAACCUCGUUCCUCAGUUCAGUUAUGAGCUAUAUUAGUGAUAGGUAACAUUAUAACCCAGUUAAUACAAUACCUAUACUCAGUUGCUACUUAUACAACCUGUGUAUUGUAAUAUAAUAGACCACAAGG
Schizosaccharomyces pombe (fission yeast) is the source of this 1055-nucleotide non-coding RNA. The record is from the annotation of a GenBank genome assembly. Lineage: Eukaryota; Fungi; Ascomycota; Schizosaccharomycetes; Schizosaccharomycetales; Schizosaccharomycetaceae.